RNAcentral lists this long non-coding RNA (252 nucleotides) under Prunus persica (peach). RNAcentral's name for it is "long non-coding RNA (PPER_LNC002295)". Lineage: Eukaryota; Viridiplantae; Streptophyta; Magnoliopsida; Rosales; Rosaceae. The record is from RNAcentral.
CUGAUUAUAAGCAACUACAUGACUAUCCUCCCCCUUUUAGGAAACGAAUAGGAACUUAGAUACAUCCUAGCACACUAUGCGUCUCCCUAAUGACUCUUCUUUGCGGAUUAUGUCUCUUGAAGGUAGCUUCUGGUCAUCGCCCUGUGUCUCCUUUAGGAUGCUUCUGAUGGGCAACUGUAUGACUAUCCAGCCCUCCUUAGGAAAUGGAUAAGAACCUUGAUACCUCACUCAAGAAGCAUGGAGACCUCCUUU